RNAcentral lists this long non-coding RNA (569 nucleotides) under Homo sapiens (human). RNAcentral describes it as "uncharacterized LOC105373383 (LOC105373383)". The record is from RNAcentral. Lineage: Eukaryota; Metazoa; Chordata; Mammalia; Primates; Hominidae.
GCGCAGGCGCAGGCGCAGAGGCCGACACCACGGGGCGGCUGGUAUGUGUCCACCGGCCCCUAGGCGCCUCGAGCCCCGCCCCUGGGAGACGCAGGCUCCUCCCCGCGGAGCGAGAGCCCGCGGAGCUGCUCCGAGACCCGCGGGAGGGCACCUCCGGUCACCCGAGCCGCAAAUCCCCGCCGUCCGAAGGGGGUGUCGCCCCGGGCUGUCGGCCCAGCGUGGCUUAGGCCAGGUACAACCGGCAGCGCCCGCCAAGCCCUGGGCUAGGGACGCCUGCGGGAGUUCACGGGGAGGCGCCGGUGUCUGAGGUCUGAGAAGACAGCGGCCACCGGAAAAGGUGCUAAUGUUUGCAGACCCCGAUCCAUCGACACCCCAAGGAAAUGCUGUGCACAAAAUUCCAAGAGGGCCUUUUCGAAUAGACGCAUGAACGGUGUUUGUGUCUGGAUCGUCCAGCCUCCCGGGAUCGAUUGGGAAUCUAGCUUCUGCUUGCCUUUCCAGCGCGACGCACAGUAGGAGCCUAAUAAAUGUUUGCUGAAUGAAUGCUGAAUAUCGAAAAAAAAAAAAAAAAA